This 482-nucleotide ribosomal RNA is filed under the name Staphylococcus aureus. Its description in RNAcentral is "partial 23S ribosomal RNA". It matches the Rfam family "Bacterial large subunit ribosomal RNA", at positions 513 to 997 of the family's 2925-position model. The record is from RNAcentral. Lineage: Bacteria; Bacillati; Bacillota; Bacilli; Caryophanales; Staphylococcaceae.
GGUGAAAAGCACCCCGGAAGGGGAGUGAAAUAGAACCUGAAACCGUGUGCUUACAAGUAGUCAGAGCCCGUUAAUGGGUGAUGGCGUGCCUUUUGUAGAAUGAACCGGCGAGUUACGAUUUGAUGCAAGGUUAAGCAGUAAAUGUGGAGCCGUAGCGAAAGCGAGUCUGAAUAGGGCGUUUAGUAUUUGGUCGUAGACCCGAAACCAGGUGAUCUACCCUUGGUCAGGUUGAAGUUCAGGUAACACUGAAUGGAGGACCGAACCGACUUACGUUGAAAAGUGAGCGGAUGAACUGAGGGUAGCGGAGAAAUUCCAAUCGAACCUGGAGAUAGCUGGUUCUCUCCGAAAUAGCUUUAGGGCUAGCCUCAAGUGAUGAUUAUUGGAGGUAGAGCACUGUUUGGACGAGGGGCCCCUCUCGGGUUACCGAAUUCAGACAAACUCCGAAUGCCAAUUAAUUUAACUUGGGAGUCAGAACAUGGGUG